RNAcentral lists this ribosomal RNA (429 nucleotides) under Actinomycetes bacterium. RNAcentral's name for it is "Actinobacteria bacterium partial 16S ribosomal RNA". It matches the Rfam family "Bacterial small subunit ribosomal RNA", at positions 355 to 776 of the family's 1533-position model. Lineage: Bacteria; Bacillati; Actinomycetota; Actinomycetes. The record is from RNAcentral.
UAGGGAAUAUUGGACAAUGGGCGCAAGCCUGAUCCAGCCAUUCCGCGUGAGUGAAGAAGGCCCUCGGGUUGUAAAGCUCUUUUGUCCGGAAAGAAAAGCUUUGGGUUAAUACCCCGAAGUCCUGACGGUACCGGAAGAAUAAGCACCGGCUAACUUCGUGCCAGCAGCCGCGGUAAUACGAAGGGUGCAAGCGUUACUCGGAAUUACUGGGCGUAAAGCGUGCGUAGGUGGUUCGUUAAGUCUGAUGUGAAAGCCCUGGGCUCAACCUGGGAAUGGCAUUGGAUACUGGCGGGCUAGAGUGCGGUAGAGGGCAGUGGAAUUCCCGGUGUAGCAGUGAAAUGCGUAGAGAUCGGGAGGAACAUCUGUGGCGAAGGCGACUGCCUGGACCAGCACUGACACUGAGGCACGAAAGCGUGGGGAGCAAACAGG